RNAcentral lists this ribosomal RNA (492 nucleotides) under uncultured bacterium. Its description in RNAcentral is "partial 16S ribosomal RNA". It matches the Rfam family "Bacterial small subunit ribosomal RNA", at positions 28 to 507 of the family's 1533-position model. The record is from RNAcentral.
GAUGAACGCUAGCUACAGGCUUAACACAUGCAAGUCGAGGGGAAACGACAUCGCAAGCUUGCUUUUGAUGGGCGUCGACCGGCGCACGGGUGAGUAACGCGUAUCCAACCUGCCCACCACUUGGGGAUAACCUUGCGAAAGUAAGACUAAUACCCAAUGAUAUCUCUAGAAGACAUCUGAAAGAGAUUAAAGAUUUAUCGGUGAUGGAUGGGGAUGCGUCUGAUUAGCUUGUUGGCGGGGUAACGGCCCACCAAGGCAACGAUCAGUAGGGGUUCUGAGAGGAAGGUCCCCCACAUUGGAACUGAGACACGGUCCAAACUCCUACGGGAGGCAGCAGUGAGGAAUAUUGAUCAAUGGACGAGAGUCUGAACCAGCCAAGUAGCGUGCAGGAAGACGGCCCUAUGGGUUGUAAACUGCUUUUAUAAGGGAAUAAAGUGAGUCUCGUGAGACUUUUUGCAUGUACCUUAUGAAUAAGGACCGGCUAAUUCCGUG